RNAcentral lists this ribosomal RNA (433 nucleotides) under uncultured bacterium. Its description in RNAcentral is "partial 16S ribosomal RNA". It matches the Rfam family "Bacterial small subunit ribosomal RNA", at positions 29 to 507 of the family's 1533-position model. The record is from RNAcentral.
CACGCACGCUGGCGGCAGGCCUAACACAUGCAAGUCGAGCGAGGACUUCGGUUCUAGCGGCGGACGGGUGAGUAACGCGUGGGAAUGUGCCCUUCUCUACGGAAUAGCCCUGGGAAACUGGGAGUAAUACCGUAUACGCCCUUUUGGGGAAAGAUUUAUCGGAGAAGGAUCAGCCCGCGUUGGAUUAGGUAGUUGGUGGGGUAAUGGCCUACCAAGCCGACGAUCCAUAGCUGGUUUGAGAGGAUGAUCAGCCACACUGGGACUGAGACACGGCCCAGACUCCUACGGGAGGCAGCAGUGGGGAAUCUUAGACAAUGGGGGCAACCCUGAUCUAGCCAUGCCGCGUGAGUGAUGAAGGCCUUAGGGUUGUAAAGCUCUUUCAGCUGGGAAGAUAAUGACGGUACCAGCAGAAGAAGCCCCGGCUAACUCCGUG